CUUCCGUUAAUUGAUUAUGACGUACUUGUACUGAUUGAGAUUUUAACACGAAGUGAGUGGCGAACGGGUGAGUAACACGUGGGUAACCUGCCCAGAAGUAGGGGAUAACACCUGGAAACAGAUGCUAAUACCGUAUAACAGAGAAAACCGCAUGGUUUUCUUUUAAAAGAUGGCUCUGCUAUCACUUCUGGAUGGACCCGCGGCGUAUUAGCUAGUUGGUGAGGUAAAGGCUCACCAAGGCAGUGAUACGUAGCCGACCUGAGAGGGUAAUCGGCCACAUUGGGACUGAGACACGGCCCAGACUCCUACGGGAGGCAGCAGUAGGGAAUCUUCCACAAUGGACGCAAGUCUGAUGGAGCAACGCCGCGUGAGUGAAGAAGGGUUUCGGCUCGUAAAGCUCUGUUGUUAAAGAAGAACGUGGGUAAGAGUAACUGUUUACCCAGUGACGGUAUUUAACCAGAAAGCCACGGCUAACUACGUGCCAGCAGCCGCGGUAAUACGUAGGUGGCAAGCGUUAUCCGGAUUUAUUGGGCGUAAAGCGAGCGCAGGCGGUCUUUUAAGUCUAAUGUGAAAGCCUUCGGCUCAACCGAAGAAGUGCAUUGGAAACUGGGAGACUUGAGUGCAGAAGAGGACAGUGGAACUCCAUGUGUAGCGGUGAAAUGCGUAGAUAUAUGGAAGAACACCAGUGGCGAAAGCGGCUGUCUGGUCUGCAACUGACGCUGAGGCUCGAAAGCAUGGGUAGCGAACAGGAUUAGAUACCCUGGUAGUCCAUGCCGUAAACGAUGAUUACUAG
This 793-nucleotide ribosomal RNA is filed under the name Pediococcus pentosaceus. Its description in RNAcentral is "bacterial SSU rRNA". It matches the Rfam family "Bacterial small subunit ribosomal RNA", at positions 63 to 819 of the family's 1533-position model. Lineage: Bacteria; Bacillati; Bacillota; Bacilli; Lactobacillales; Lactobacillaceae. The record is from RNAcentral.